UCGGGAAUAUUGCGCAAUGGAGGAAACUCUGACGCAGUGACGCCGCGUGCAGGAAGAAGGUUUUCGGAUUGUAAACUGCUUUAGACAGGGACGAAAUAAAUGACGGUACCUGUAGAAUAAGCUCCGGCUAACUACGUGCCAGCAGCCGCGGUAAUACGUAGGGAGCAAGCGUUAUCCGGAUUUAUUGGGUGUAAAGGGAGCGUAGACGGAACGGCAAGUUUGAAGUGAAAUACCCGGGCUUAACCCGGGAACUGCUUUGAAAACUGUCGAUCUAGAGUGUCGGAGAGGUAAGUGGAAUUCCUGGUGUAGUAGUGAAAUGCGUAGAUAUCAGGAAGAACACCGGAGGCGAAGGCGGCUUACUGGACGAUAACUGACGUUGAGGCUCGAAAGCGUGGGGAGCAAACAGGAUUAGAUACCCUGGUAGU
RNAcentral lists this ribosomal RNA (425 nucleotides) under uncultured Oribacterium sp. RNAcentral's name for it is "bacterial SSU rRNA". It matches the Rfam family "Bacterial small subunit ribosomal RNA", at positions 355 to 794 of the family's 1533-position model. The record is from RNAcentral. Lineage: Bacteria; Bacillati; Bacillota; Clostridia; Lachnospirales; Lachnospiraceae.